UAGAAUGUGGUGUAAUAGUGGUAGCACGAAGAUCUUUGGAUUCUUAGGAUUAGGUUCGAUUCCUAUAAUUCUAG
This is a transfer RNA of 74 nucleotides. It matches the Rfam family "tRNA". Rfam says of the family: Transfer RNA (tRNA) molecules are approximately 80 nucleotides in length.